Molecule: ribosomal RNA, 497 nt
Filed under: uncultured bacterium
Lineage: Bacteria
Description: partial 16S ribosomal RNA
Rfam family: Bacterial small subunit ribosomal RNA
Source: RNAcentral
GAUGAACGCUGGCGGCGUGCCUAAUACAUGCAAGUCGAGCGAACAGACGAGGAGCUUGCUCCUCUGACGUUAGCGGCGGACGGGUGAGUAACACGUGGAUAACCUACCUAUAAGACUGGGAUAACUUCGGGAAACCGGAGCUACUACCGGAUAAUAUAUUGUACCGCAUGGUUCAAUAGUGAAAGACGGUUUUGCUGUCACUUUUAGAUGGAUCCGCGCCGCAUUAGCUAGUUGGUAAGGUAACGGCUUACCAAGGCAACGAUGCGUAGCCGACCUGAGAGGAUGAUCAGCCACACUGGAACUGAGACACGGUCCAGACUCCUACGGGAGGCAGCAGUAGGGAAUCUUCCGCAAUGGGCGAAAGCCUGACGGAGCAACGCUGCGUGAGUGAUGAAGGUCUUCGGAUCGUAAAACUCUGUUAUUAGGGAAGAACAAAUGUGUAAGUAACUAUGCACGUCUUGACGGUACCUAAUCAGAAAGCCACGGCUAACUACGUG